This 381-nucleotide long non-coding RNA is filed under the name Gigantopelta aegis. RNAcentral's name for it is "uncharacterized LOC121378516, transcript variant X2". Lineage: Eukaryota; Metazoa; Mollusca; Gastropoda; Neomphalida; Peltospiridae. The record is from RNAcentral.
AAAAUACCACACGCUAGAAAAUUGGCGCAGAAUAUCUGUUGCCUAUUUGAAUUCUUUGGACGCAUAACAGCAAAGGAUCUCAUUGAGAGAAUAAUGGAGUGCAUAUUCACUCAGUCCUUCGCCUGUCAGUACAACUGGGUUGGCAGGAGGAAAAAAAACGGCAUCAGGAAAUUAAUUCCCAGAAAGAUACUGCCAAAAAAACAGCGACAUAAAAGACGCAGGAGCGGAACUGCAUCUUAGAAAUUGGUUAAGAUAUGCAUCAGACCGAACACUUGAGGAGGAGAGGCAACGUGCGAGACCAGCAGCCACGAAGACGUAGUCGGAAUCCGAAACGAUGAUAAACAAGAUUGAUAUGUAGUUCGAUAAUAAAUGUUACAUCUG